This 483-nucleotide ribosomal RNA is filed under the name uncultured bacterium. Its description in RNAcentral is "partial 16S ribosomal RNA". It matches the Rfam family "Bacterial small subunit ribosomal RNA", at positions 28 to 507 of the family's 1533-position model. The record is from RNAcentral.
AUUGAACGCUGGCGGCAUGCUUACACAUGCACGUCGAACGGCAGCGCGGGCUUCGGCCUGGCGGCGAGUGGCGAACGGGUGAGUAAUGCAUCGGAACGUGCCCAGUAGUGGGGGAUAGCCCGGCGAAAGCCGGAUUAAUACCGCAUACGACCUGAGGGUGAAAGCGGGGGAACGAAAGGCCUCGCGCUAUUUGAGCGGCCGAUGUCGGAUUAGCUAGUUGGUGGGGUAAAGGCUUACCAAGGCGACGAUCCGUAGCUGGUCUGAGAGGACGACCAGCCACACUGGGACUGAGACACGGCCCAGACUCCUACGGGAGGCAGCAGUGGGGAAUUUUGGACAAUGGGGGCAACCCUGAUCCAGCCAUGCCGCGUGCGGGAAGAAGGCCUUCGGGUUGUAAACCGCUUUUGUUCGGGAAGAAAUCCUCUGGGCUAAUACCCCGGGGGGAUGACGGUACCGGAAGAAUAAGCACCGGCUAACUACGUG